Molecule: non-coding RNA, 1482 nt
Organism: Monodelphis domestica (gray short-tailed opossum)
Lineage: Eukaryota; Metazoa; Chordata; Mammalia; Didelphimorphia; Didelphidae
Source: the annotation of a RefSeq genome assembly
AAAGACUGCUGUUUCUUGGGAAAAAUGACUACACCACUUCCACACACAUUAACAACUCAUUUCAGGGCUGGCGAGGAACAUAGAAGGAACUAAUGAGUAUUUUCUGGUACUGAGACUAUAUCAGAUGGAGUGAUGGAGGACAGACACUGAGACCUCACAGUGAUACUUGGAUUCUCAGUGUCACCACAGCCUUCCUCAGGGCUUUAGAGCCAAUUCUGGGGGUUUCAUGCUUCUGUAGUUCAGGGAAGGGAUUCCUCACAGUGGAAGGCAGCUGCUCUUCCUCCCAUUAAACAGAGGAAGACAUGCAAAUGGGGAUCCUCCCUCAGGCAUGAACCCAGCACAAAACCUGUGUCUGCUGCUCUUGGAGAGGAGCUUCUCCUUGUGUGGCCUUUCCCAGCUGAGGACUGACACUGUAGAGCCUGAAUCAUGGGAUUUGGACUCAAAGGCAUUUUCAUUCUGAUGAUUUUGCAAGGUGUCCAUUGUGACAUUCCGCUGGUGGAGUCUGGGGGAGUUGUGAGACAGCCUGGAGGAUCCUUGAAACUCUCCUGCAAAGCUUCUGGAUUCACCUUCAGCAGCUAUGACAUGCAUUGGGUCCGCCAGGCUCCAGGAAAGGGGCUGGAGUGGGUCUCAGCAAUUAGUAAUGAUGGAAGUGGCACAUACUAUGCAGACUCUGUGAAAGGCCGAUUCACCAUCUCCAGGGACAAUGGCAACAGCCUGCUGCACCUGCAGAUGAAUUCCCUGAAAGCCGAGGACACAGCCACGUAUUACUGUGCAAGAGACACAGUGAGGGAGAGCAGUGAGAGAGCAGACAAAAACCUCCUCUCCAGAGAGUUCUGGUGGAGAAUGACAGAGAGGGAACUCCAGAACUCUGAGCACAAGGAGCCCAGUUACAACAACAUGUGAAGAGGGAGGCUGACAAGAGUCUUUUCAGGGUCUGUGAUUUUCUCACAAACCCCAGUGAACGUCCCUCUCUCUGUCUCAAUCCCUUUUUGUCUCUGCCGCUCUUUCCUGCUUCUGAUAAGCAGAGGCUCAGGGAGGAGACGUAUUCUCGUAAUGGUUUAUGUAUUUUGUAUAUCGUGACUCUAAUUUCUCUGACGUUGUCAGACAUAAAGCACAGACGAGGUCACAUAACAAAUGAGGAAUCACUGAACAUUCACUACAGGAAUCCUGCAGGGUUUUCAUACACUCUGAGCACAGGGAAGCACACUUGGGUGGGGAAGUCAGCUGGUGUGCUGAGUCAGUCUGGGGGAAACCUUUAAAAACCUUUUUUUUUUUUUAACCCUUACACAGGCAGCUGCCUAAGAAGGUGGGAUUCGCGCUCUCAGCCUCUUUUCAUUUCAAUCAGAGUUUCAGUGAUUCUAUCAGAAUGUCUUUUGACCUCAUAGGAAGAUGCUUGCUGUGGUCUAAACAAGCAGGAUUUAUGGAAGGUCCUCCCAAUGCUUCUCUAGGGAUGGGAGUGGAAUAAACUCCUUUUAACUUCCA